GAGGGAACGCUGUAGUGGCGUCAUCACAUCCAUUCACCGGGCAAGCAUGGCGGCUAAGCAUCAGAGAGGCCCAGUGUAAACAAACCCAUACAACGAGCUUGCAGUGCGCGACGUAGUGAUCAGGCUCGACGAUGGCCACUAUUUCUUGGAUAGUUCUGUUCCUCCGUGGGCAAUCUUCCCGUGCACGCGGUAAGACUGCCAAUAGCUUCGGCGAUUUUACAGAUCGCAACGCGCACCUACUGUUCACGGCGAAGUGCUGAAGAAACAACUUGUCCUGUGCUGCUUCUGCGAGUGCGCCGAGUUCCUCCACUCUGCGUGACUGCGAGCGUCACGAACAUUACAUAGUGUGGGCAAAAGGCAGACAUCCUCUAUAGCUACGAUGCAACAAGGAGGUGGUACCGACGAUGGAUCUCGCUACCAACACAGUGAAGGAGACAUCGACAAACUGCAGAUAACAAAACAUUCUGCUGCUGGAGGCACUCAACCGCCUGGUGGCAGUAGGCGAGCGCCAGGCACGUGCUCUUGAGAGUGUGGCAGAGGUCCAGAGGGCUGCUCUGCAACAGUAGGAUCGGUGCCCUCACUGCUCUGCUGUCGAGCCCACAGAAGGCACCUUAUAAAGGAGCUUUCAGUUUAAUAUUUUGUUUAUUAUUCAAGAACAUGAAUAAAAUUAUUGCAGUAAACAUUGUGCUGUGCAUAUUAGGAGACUUGUAACAUGCACUUGGUGUCCCUUCAAAAUAGGCAAAAACGUAAGACAACCUGCGCCACUCUUGGACCAUGUAAAUAAAAAAUACACUAAUGCAGCAU
Molecule: long non-coding RNA, 804 nt
Filed under: Dermacentor andersoni
Lineage: Eukaryota; Metazoa; Arthropoda; Arachnida; Ixodida; Ixodidae
Description: uncharacterized LOC126536247
Source: RNAcentral